This 497-nucleotide ribosomal RNA is filed under the name uncultured bacterium. RNAcentral describes it as "partial 16S ribosomal RNA". It matches the Rfam family "Bacterial small subunit ribosomal RNA", at positions 28 to 507 of the family's 1533-position model. The record is from RNAcentral.
GAUGAACGCUGGCGGCGUGCCUAAUACAUGCAAGUCGAGCGAACAGACGAGGAGCUUGCUCCUCUGACGUUAGCGGCGGACGGGUGAGUAACACGUGGAUAACCUACCUAUAUGACUGGGAUAACUUCGGGAAACCGGAUCUAAUACCGGAUAAUAUAUUGAACCGCAUGGUUCAAUAGUGAAAGACGGUUUUGCUUUCACUUAUAGAUGGAUCCGCGCCGCAUUAGCUAGUUGGUAAGGUAACGGCUUACCAAGGCAACGAUGCGUAGCCGACCUGAGAGGGUGAUCGGCCACACUGGAACUGAGACACGGUCCAGACUCCUACGGGAGGCAGCAGUAGGGAAUCUUCCGCAAUGGGCGAAAGCCUGACGGAGCAACGCCGCGUGAGUGAUGAAGGUCUUCGGAUCGUAAAACUCUGUUAUUAGGGAAGAACAAAUGUGUAAGUAACUAUGCACGUCUUGACGGUACCUAAUCAGAAAGCCACGGCUAACUACGUG